RNAcentral lists this non-coding RNA (185 nucleotides) under Deltaproteobacteria bacterium. Lineage: Bacteria; Pseudomonadati; Myxococcota; Myxococcia. The record is from RNAcentral.
AUCUCGUUUUAAAUUAUGGGUGGCCCGAGAGGGCCUUAAAAGGGAAGUACGGUGUAAAACCGUCGCGGACCCGCCGCUGUAACCGGGGAUGAAAGCCGCAAAAUGCCACUGUCUGUAAGGACGGGAAGGCGCGGCAAGUAGGAUGAACCGGGAGCCAGAAGACCUACCCUAAUGUCAUAAUUUGU